Molecule: unclassified non-coding RNA, 391 nt
Filed under: soil metagenome
Description: partial contains 5.8S ribosomal RNA, internal transcribed spacer 2, and large subunit ribosomal RNA
Rfam family: 5.8S ribosomal RNA (bases 1-122)
Source: RNAcentral
GAUGAAGAACGUAGUGAAAUGCGAUACUUGGUGUGAAUUGCAGAAUCCCGUGAACCAUCGAGUCUUUGAACGCAAGUUGCGCCCGAAGCCAUUAGGCCGAGGGCACGCCUGCCUGGGCGUCACACGUCGUUGCCCCCCCAUCUACUCCUUCGGGAUUGCGGGGGGCGGAUGAUGGCCUCCCGUGCGCCUCGCCGCGCGGUUGGCAUAAAUGCCAAGUCCUCGGCGACGCACGCCACGACAAUCGGUGGUUGCGAAACCUCGGUUGCCCGUCGUGUGCGGUCGUCGCGCAUCGAGGGCUCGAAAAAAUUGCCGGGUUCCGGCUCGGCUUUCAACGCGACCCCAGGUCAAGCGGGGUUACCCGCUGAAUUUAAGCAUAUCAAUAAGCGGAGGA